RNAcentral lists this ribosomal RNA (176 nucleotides) under uncultured bacterium. Its description in RNAcentral is "partial 16S ribosomal RNA". It matches the Rfam family "Bacterial small subunit ribosomal RNA", at positions 335 to 525 of the family's 1533-position model. The record is from RNAcentral.
ACUCCUACGGGAGGCAGCAGUGGGGAAUCUUGCGCAAUGGGCGCAAGCCUGACGGAGCAACGCCGCGUGAGUGAAGAAGGCCUUCGGGUUGUAAAACUCUGUCAUCAGGGAAGAAGAAAGUGACGGUACCUGAGGAGGAAGCCCCGGCUAACUACGUGCCAGCAGCCGCGGUAAUA